RNAcentral lists this ribosomal RNA (369 nucleotides) under Heliobacterium mobile. Its description in RNAcentral is "Heliobacillus mobilis partial 23S ribosomal RNA". It matches the Rfam family "Bacterial large subunit ribosomal RNA", at positions 1 to 369 of the family's 2925-position model. Lineage: Bacteria; Bacillati; Bacillota; Clostridia; Eubacteriales; Heliobacteriaceae. The record is from RNAcentral.
AUAAGGUCAAGUUAGUAAGGGCAUACGGUGGAUGCCUAGGCGCUGAGAGGCGAAGAAGGGCGCGGACAGCUGCGAAAAGCUACGGAGAGCCGCAAGCAGGCGUAGACCCGUAGAUACCCGAAUGGGGCAACCCGUCCGGAGUCAUAUCCGGACAUCGCUGACUGAAUCCAUAGGUCAGUGAAGCCAACCCGGGGAACUGAAACAUCUAAGUACCCGGAGGAAAAGAAAUCAAGCGAGAUUCCCCCAGUAGCGGCGAGCGAACGGGGAAAAGCCUAAACCGUCUCUUCGGAGACGGGGUUGCGGGACCUUCAUCACGAACGAAUCAUCCUAGUCGAAGCGGUCUGGAAAGGCCCGGCACAGCAGGUAACA